UACGUAGGGUGCGAGCGUUAAUCGGAAUUACUGGGCGUAAAGCGUGCGCAGGCGGUUUUGCAAGCCGGAUGUGAAAUCCCCGGGCUCAACCUGGGAAUGGCAUUCGGGACUGCAAGGCUGGAGUGCGGCAGAGGAGACUGGAAUUCCUGGUGUAGCAGUGAAAUGCGUAGAUAUUCGGAAGAACACCAGUGGCGAAGGCGACUUACUGGACACAUAUUGACGCUGAGGUGCGAAAGCGUGGGGAGCAAACAGG
RNAcentral lists this ribosomal RNA (253 nucleotides) under uncultured bacterium. RNAcentral describes it as "partial 16S ribosomal RNA". It matches the Rfam family "Bacterial small subunit ribosomal RNA", at positions 524 to 776 of the family's 1533-position model. The record is from RNAcentral.